RNAcentral lists this transfer RNA (71 nucleotides) under Cordylochernes scorpioides. Its description in RNAcentral is "tRNA-Gly". Lineage: Eukaryota; Metazoa; Arthropoda; Arachnida; Pseudoscorpiones; Chernetidae. The record is from RNAcentral.
UGCAUCGGCCGGGAAUCGAACCCAGGCCGCCAGCAUGGCAGGCGAGCAUUCUACCACUGAACCACCGAUGG